GACGAACGCUGGCGGCGUGCUUAACACAUGCAAGUCGAGCGGAAAGGCCUUUUCGGAGGUACUCGAGUGGCGCACGGGUGAGUAACACGUGGGUGAUCUGCCCUGCACUCUGGGAUAAGCCUGGGAAGCUGGGUCUAAUACCGGAUAGGACCGCACUUUAGUGUGUGUGGUGGAAAGUUUUUUCGGUGUAGGAUGAGCCCGCGGCCUAUCAGCUUGUUGGUGGGGUAAUGGCCUACCAAGGCGGCGACGGGUAGCCGGACUGAGAGGUUGGUCGGCCACAUUGGGACUGAGAUACGGCCCAGACUCCUACGGGAGGCAGCAGUGGGGAAUAUUGCACAAUGGGCGCAAGCCUGAUGCAGCGACGCCGCGUGGGGGAUGACGGCCUUCGGGUUGUAAACUCCUUUCGCCAGGGACGAAGCGUUUUGUGACGGUACCUGGAGAAGAAGCACCGGCUAACUACGUG
This 463-nucleotide ribosomal RNA is filed under the name uncultured bacterium. Its description in RNAcentral is "partial 16S ribosomal RNA". It matches the Rfam family "Bacterial small subunit ribosomal RNA", at positions 28 to 507 of the family's 1533-position model. The record is from RNAcentral.